UACAGAGGGUGCGAGCGUUGUCCGGAAUUACUGGGCGUAAAGGGCGCGUAGGCGGCCCGAUAAGUAGGACGUGAAAUUCCGCGGCUCAACCGCGGAACUGCGUUCUAGACUGUCGGGCUUGAGCACGGUAGAGGCAGAUGGAAUUCCCGGUGUAGCGGUGGAAUGCGUAGAGAUCGGGAGGAACACCAGUAGCGAAGGCGGCUCGCUGGGCCAUUCCUGACGCUGAGACGCGAAAGCUAGGGGAGCGAACAGG
RNAcentral lists this ribosomal RNA (253 nucleotides) under uncultured bacterium. RNAcentral's name for it is "partial 16S ribosomal RNA". It matches the Rfam family "Bacterial small subunit ribosomal RNA", at positions 524 to 776 of the family's 1533-position model. The record is from RNAcentral.